RNAcentral lists this transfer RNA (127 nucleotides) under Salmonella enterica. Its description in RNAcentral is "tRNA-Leu". RNAcentral also lists the same sequence under 3 other names. The record is from RNAcentral. Lineage: Bacteria; Pseudomonadati; Pseudomonadota; Gammaproteobacteria; Enterobacterales; Enterobacteriaceae.
CGGAUGGUAAUUGGCGGAUUGUAGCCAUUAAAAACACUCCUAAUAAUGGCUAAACCUUUGAAACGUAGCUAGAAAAACCGUCAUGGGGUGUCGGGGGUCGGAGGUUCAAAUCCUCUCGUGCCGACCA